UCUCUGUUGAGAAUAGGUUUAAUAGUAGUGAUUGUAGUGAGUGGAGACUGGAAAUAUCAAUUGAUACUUUAAGAGCACUUCGAUGCUCAGUACAUCACAAGGCAGAUAAUGUUUCCACUUCCUUAAAAAGGGAUCUAAGCUAUUAAUUUUCCUUGCUAUAUAUCUUGCA
Long non-coding RNA from Haliotis rubra (blacklip abalone), 169 nucleotides. RefSeq lists it as uncharacterized. The transcript has 3 exons. Lineage: Eukaryota; Metazoa; Mollusca; Gastropoda; Lepetellida; Haliotidae. The record is from RefSeq and is a predicted model, not a curated record.